UACGGAGGGGGCCAGCGUUAUUCGGAAUUAUUGGGCGUAAAGGGCGCGUAGGCGGCCAUGCGUGUCUUGCGUGAAAUCCCUCGGCUCAACCGAGGACGUGCGGAAGAAACUGCAAGGCUCGAGUCCGGAAGAGGGGGGCGGAAUUCCCAGUGUAGCGGUGAAAUGCGUAGAUAUUGGGAGGAACACCAGUGGCGAAGGCGGUCCCCUGGGCCGGAACUGACGCUGAGGCGCGAAAGCGUGGGGAGCAAACAGG
Molecule: ribosomal RNA, 253 nt
Filed under: uncultured bacterium
Lineage: Bacteria
Description: partial 16S ribosomal RNA
Rfam family: Bacterial small subunit ribosomal RNA
Source: RNAcentral